This is a long non-coding RNA of Nicotiana tabacum (common tobacco), 574 nucleotides long. RefSeq lists it as uncharacterized. NCBI's taxonomy places the organism in Eukaryota, Viridiplantae, Streptophyta, Magnoliopsida, Solanales, Solanaceae. The record is from RefSeq and is a predicted model, not a curated record.
ACAAAGAUAGGUGUAUUAGCCACCAAAAUAAAGGAGAAGAAAAAAAAAAAACAGAUUAAUAUUUGGGCAAAAGACAAUGACUUUGGUCGACCAAUGAACUGAAAGCAAUUAAAGUUGAAAAGAAGGAGGACAAAAGGAGGGGAUUCUGUGGCAAUUAACCGUGAAGGACAAAAGGAUGGCUGAUCAAAUAGCUUUUGUGGUGGAAUCUUGUGUCAUGGAACAGAUAAGCGAAGGCAAAUAGUAGAAGUCACCUUUCAAUCCCAAAAUUGAUUGGAUGAAUUUGUACGAGUUGCUUGAGGUGAAGCAGUUGGUAUUUCGGCACAAGUACUAGACAACAGCUGAUGCAUGCGAUGAUUUCGUUAAUUAAAGCGCACGGAUUGAUAGUUCUCGGUGAGCCUCGCACUUGUUCGCGUAGGCGGAGAUUUUAUUUAUUUUCAUGAUCUUCUUUGAACUCUUAAAGUCGCUCUAUGGUCCUUCUUUUAAUGUCUUGAGUAGUCUUUGUUAUUAUAGACUUAUGUUGAGUAACACUCAUUCUUAUCAAAUUUGGAAAUAUAGUAGUAUUUCUAGUUGUUAG